This is a long non-coding RNA of Pan troglodytes (chimpanzee), 4623 nucleotides long. RefSeq lists it as uncharacterized. The transcript is spliced from 2 exons. The record is from RefSeq and is a predicted model, not a curated record. NCBI's taxonomy places the organism in Eukaryota, Metazoa, Chordata, Mammalia, Primates, Hominidae.
GGACCAACAGAAAAUUGCAAACUCCUGAGUGGAAACCUUCACGAGGGCUCCGCAAAUUGGUGCUCUCUUCUCCUGGUUUCAUCCCGCAGGAAGAGAGAGUCUCCCUAUAUGAAUGUUCACACCAUGAGAAACCUUUCUCACCCUCUCUCCGUGGAAUUUCUCUCCCCAGUUUUUGAGAUAUCCUCGACUCAAGGCCAAAGCAGUGGUUUGAAAGGUGUUUGGAAACCAAUGUGAACCAUCGUGCUUUCCCCUCCCCCACUCUGGGGGUGGGAUUUUCAGGCCAACUUUUCUGAAGCUACUUGUGAGUUAACCUGAAGUUGGAAUGCCCUCCUGAGGUCGAGGCAUAAAAGCCAGCAGCGUAAAUAGAAACUGAAGCUGAAAUAACCAUAAAUGUUCUCGAACAACUUCAAUAGAGAAAGCCUUGUUUGAUCCUCUCUAAGCUUCCUGAAACCAAGCUGAAUAUUUGUUUGUUUUGUGGUAGCUCAACUUUUUUUUUUUUUCUCAGGCCUUUUAAUGCAUGGCUGUUGUUGGUUUCUGUUUAAAAGGAAAAUGCUUUUUCUCAGUAACGAUGUUCACAUUCUGAAGUUGGUGAUACCCACUUCUAAAGGCCAUUUUAUUGUAAAGAUAAAGUUCUGCUAAGUCUUAGGAUGAAAAGAUAAAGGAUGUGGUCAGUUACCAUGACUCGUGCUUACCUCCCAAAGUGUGUCAUUUGGUGCACAUACCUCAAAACGUGUGAACAGAAAGUUUCUAGGUUUAUUUUUAUACAUGGAGAUUUGAUUCCACGGCAGAGGGAGGGUGUCAAGGUAAAUGACUGUGCAAAAAUGACAGAACUGCAUUUUGAGCUUUCCGUUGCCAGAGAUACAAAGGCCAAGUUAAGCCAUGAACACAAGGAGAAAGUGCCAGGUGUCAGGAGCAAGAAUCUUAUAUGCUGGGGAUUUUUUUUUUUCCUGGAAGCAACUGGAAACCAACUUAGUGACACUUAAGUCCUUCACCUGCUACAUGACUGCAGCCAGUGUAUGUGAGUCAGAGUGGUACCAAGAAGGGCCCUCAUCUGAAUAGCCACAAAAGUGACGGGCCCUGGCUUGGAAUGGGAAUAUUAUACUAUGUUCAGAGUCACGGCAACUUGAACUUGGCAGCCUUAUCGGCUUCUGAGAUUAUGAGUGCCCCACAGCCAAGUGCACCUGUGAGGAGAGUUGACUGUGGAGUGGGAUAUAGAUUGAGAAACCUCUUUCGUAGCUGACAAUCCAUGUAAACUCCUUUAAUAUGUGGAUGGUUAAGUAGCAGUUUAAGUGUUGGAAUUACCUGGCCCUGCUUUACCAUCUUCUAUAUAUUCAGUAUAAGACACACUGGGAAUUACUGAAAGCUUCCCUCUCCCCCCUCAAAAAGAGUGGAUGGUGCUUAGAAUUAAGAGGAUGUUUCCAGGGUGUCUUUCGUUUCCAUCAUCAAAGCAGAUAAAAUUAACUCUAUUAGAAACUGAGACCCCCUCCGUGAGGUAUAUUAGUCAUAAGUUCUCUUUGCAAAAAGGCUAGUCUUCAGAGGAUUGUUAAGAUCAGAUUUCAUGACAGACAUGUUUCAACAUAUUUGUACUUCUCUGAACAUGCUACAUUUGUUCUCAUGUGUUGUGAUUAGCUGGUUUCAGUGUUUAAUCCAUGGCAUGUGGCAUUUUUCUGUAGUAGUGUUUCUGUGGAAAACUUUAUCCUAGGCUUGUGGAAGACCAGUUAUAAUGCUUUGGAUAAAGUAUGUCCAGCAUUUCUAAAAGCUGCAGUUUCCUAAGAAAAUGAUCUACGGGCACCUAAGGUUAAAAUCUUCAGAAUUAUUUUUUGUAUUUUCUGAAAGUGAUUUUUAAAUGAAGUUGAGAAAUGGUACUAACAAUGCAUCCAAUAUUGAUAUAAUUAGAAUAUGCAUCAUACUCUACUAAAGCCAACCUUCUUUAAUAUGUUCAUAUAUAAACAUAAAGAGGUAUGUGGUUUAUUGUAUAUCCAAUUUUUCAUUUAUCUGCACCUUCUUCAGGAUCAUAUUUGGAAGGCACCUACCUGCUCACUUGCAAACAGAAUGAGACACCGUCAUGCUUUCUAAAGCGUGUUCUCUCCUGCCCUCCUCCUCCUCCCUCAGUCUGCCUUAUAUUAAGUUAGCCAAUCGAAGUCAGCGUUACAGCCUCCCCUUUGGCCUGCGUUCUCCAUCCUCCUUAUAUAAGCCUUGGUGGCCCCACACCUCUUCACAGCCACCUGGUCCGGCAGCCUGUAAUAGCUGUCUCACUCUUCCUCCUCCUCACCUGAUGCCUGCGGCUGACCCAACUGCCUCUGGGGUGUGAUCCCACAGAUUCUGAAAACAGCUGCAGCAGGCUGAGGGUGACUUCCUGGUCACGUUCAUCCAGAUACAGAGAAGGCUCUAUAUCAAUAAUGGGCAUCCUCUGAUGUGUACUUUUCUCUCAACAGUAAACACUUUAUAUGAUGUUUUUCAGUAUCUCCUGAGUAUAAGGCGCUGGGCUCUUCUCUCUUUCUGAACAGUUCUGGUUCUUUAGUCCUAGUGCAGAGACAGCCUUUGUAAUUAAAAGACAAAAAAAUGUACUAGUAAUAAUAAGAUUUUCCAAGGCAGUCACCCAGUCCUCUCUUCUGGUUUGUUUUUCUGUCUUUCCCUCACCUCCUCACUCCUGCCUUGGGACCAGUUGUGCUUUUGCUCAAUUCAUUCAGCAAACAAUUAGCAACAAAGCUGCAGGCUCUGGUAGUGAUCAAAACGCUGGCUGAAUCUGCCGAGGUCUUCCAAGCACUUAGAAGAAAGGCCGGGAUCCGCAAAGCCAGGCAGAUUUCGGGUGUCACCUAUGCAGGGCUUCAUAAGUCUCUGUCUUUUCUGGCUCGGGGAACUACCCCAUGGGGUCACUCACAAACGUGUAUGCCUUCCCUCUGUCUUCUAUCUGAGUGCGGCUUAAGGGUAUAAGCACUAAGGAAAAAGCUUAAGCCAUCACAGCAUAUCUGAGCAUAAAGGAAAGAUAGAUAAAGUCCUUGUACAAGAAAACUGAGGCCUAGAGUUGGCAAGCUAUACCCAGAAAGUUAGCAGGAAGGGCCACAGAAUGUACUCGAACAAAAGCAAGAAUGACAUGGCCCAUUUCCCAGUCAAUACCAAGUGAACCAUUUUGGAAUGAGAAUAGCUAGUUACAUCUCUUGCUAGACUCCUCUUCCAGGUCAUAAACACCUCCUACCAACAGGUUACUGAGCCCAAAAAUAAAUAUGGGAAAUUUGCGUGUAUGCUGCACUUUGUAUUUUCUGCCUCCUUCUCAAUCCUUAAUUAAGCUCCGCAGCCACCCUGUGAAGCCGGUCAUUAUCACUGGGUGAGGAAACGGAGUCCCACAGGAGCUAUGUGACUUGCCCAAGCAUACGAGCCAGACAGGCCGGGCAGGGUGAGACUUUCCAGUUUCUGAUGCCCACGCCCCAUGUGCAAUCCAGCCUCGUCACCCUGGGUCUUGGUGCAGGGAGUAAAUAAACAAACAAAUGAUCACAUUGCUUUUACUUCUGGAGAGCAAUGGGUUCUUAUUCAAAAUAGGAACAAGGGGCAAAACAAAUGGCAAGUAGUAACAAAAUUAUUGGGGGACAGUGGUGCCACCAUUCGGGGGCUUGGAAGUCUGGUCUUUCUGAAGCAGUGCAUUCACUUUUAAGUUUCUCUUUAUUGCUCACAUACCCGGGUUUUAUUCAGCAAAAGUGACACGUCUCACUAGGCAAUGGGAAUUCAAAAGUGAUACCAUGAGGUCCACCUUGUAUUAAGGUUCAAAGUCAUGUGAUCCUAUGUGAUACAGGCUGUAAUAGAGAGAUAUCUGGAGAAAUAUAGAAGUUCAGGAGAGGAAAUUACCCUCCCUGGGGAAUCAGGGAAGGUUCCAUAGAUAAGGUGACAUUUAAAUAGAAUCUGAAAAGAUGAAUUAAGAGUUUGCGAGUUGGAAGCAAGGAAAAAGAGCAUUUGGGCAGCUAUGGUAGAGGUUUGAUAAAUUAUGACUUCAGAGUCUACCCCCAUAUUCAAAUCAUGUUCCCUAUAACUUACAGUGUAAAACUAUGAAACAAUAAGCUUGGCCCUCAACUCUGGUGACAAAUAAACUCUCCCUGUCCUUUGAGAUGUCCCUCAAUGUACUUUUCCAAUGCCAAAUGAAGGUCAAGACUUUGCCAGGGUGUCUGAGAAUUCCUAGCUUUGAGAGCAUACGGGGGAGGCCCCGAAGUUGUGUUUUCAUGCUCACAUAUGGUGCGGAAUUUCUGCUUUUUACUGAUUUGUUUCAGUUUAUCCAGAUAUCUUUUACAUAGAGAAGUGUGUAUAUGCGUCUGUGUGUACAUGGCACGUAUAGGUAUAUGCUGUAUAUAUGUAUGAUAACAUAUAACGAAAUCAGCCCUUAAUUUAAAAAAAAAAACCCUAUUUCACUGAACAUUUUACUGCAGUGGGAAGAAGAGGAUGGGUAGUAAAUAAUGGGCUUCCUUCACAUUAACACAAAUGACUUCUAAUUGAUCUGUAAGGAAAUUGGUCACCUUGGCUGAUGCCUAUAAUCCCAGCACUUUGGGAGGCUGAGGCGGGUGGAUCACUUGAGGCCAGGAGUUCGAGACCAGCCUGGGCAACACGGUGAAACCCCAUCUUUACCAAAAAAUACAAAAA